Heterocephalus glaber (naked mole-rat) is the source of this 660-nucleotide long non-coding RNA. The record is from Ensembl. NCBI's taxonomy places the organism in Eukaryota, Metazoa, Chordata, Mammalia, Rodentia, Bathyergidae.
CAGGCUCGGAGCCAGGGAGACUGGAAAAUGAUUUUUGCUUUUUAACUCCUUGGAGGCUUGUGUGGAAAGUUUAAGAAAGCAAGUUUUUGUUUCUAGGGACAGAACUCAAAUAUUCAAGGAGGAGAAAAUGAAGUGGGAUAGUUCCCAGCCCACUUGCCUUGUUCUCGAGCUGCUCUUUCGUGGGAAAGGCGAAUUUUUUUGCUGAGCUGGCUGGGAAGUGUUGAGGUUGUGCUCCACAGAUGCAGGCUGGCUCUGGAUCCUAUUACUCUGCCAACAAACAACGUGGCUGUGGAUUUGGCUGCAUUGAACGCACUUUUUUGUUGUUUCUGAUGAAAGAAAGCAGCUAAGCAAGGAGAUGGAAGACAGCCACGGGCUGGCCCACAGUGGGUGCCACCCUCUGGAGCAAGCCUGAAGUGAGGGCCACCACUUUCUGUCCUGUUUAAAAGGAUCUCCCUGCUGUGCCCAUGUCGUUAUCAAAAGACAGCCUGCUCUCAAUAAAUGCUUCCUCCGGAGCCGCAGCUCUGAAGUACAGUACCUGGCCAUGGAUGCAGGCUGAGGAGGGAAGUGGACCGGCCAAGCCUGCAGCAAUGUGACAGGUGGAAGCUGACGGGUCCAAAGGAAUCUGGAGCCAACUUGAAGCAGCUCUCACUGGGCAUUAGG